RNAcentral lists this ribosomal RNA (486 nucleotides) under uncultured bacterium. Its description in RNAcentral is "bacterial SSU rRNA". It matches the Rfam family "Bacterial small subunit ribosomal RNA", at positions 28 to 507 of the family's 1533-position model. The record is from RNAcentral.
GAUGAACGCUAGCUACAGGCUUAACACAUGCAAGUCGAGGGGCAGCACUAGGUAGCAAUACUGAGGUGGCGACCGGCGCACGGGUGCGUAACGCGUAUCCAACCUUCCCGUUACUCAGGGAUAGCCUUCCGAAAGGGAGAUUAAUACCUGAUGGUGUUCAAAUUCCGCAUGUUAUUUGAACUAAAGAUUUAUCGGUAACGGAUGGGGAUGCGUGACAUUAGGUAGAUGGCGGGGUAACGGCCCACCAUGCCUACGAUGUCUAGGGGUUCUGAGAGGAAGGUCCCCCACACUGGAACUGAGACACGGUCCAGACUCCUACGGGAGGCAGCAGUGAGGAAUAUUGGUCAAUGGGCGAGAGCCUGAACCAGCCAAGUAGCGUGAAGGAAGACUGCCCUAUGGGUUGUAAACUUCUUUUGUUCGGGAAUAAAGUGCAGUACGCGUACUGUUUUGUAUGUACCGCUCGAAUAAGCAUCGGCUAAUUCCGUG